UGUAAAUAAUAUCUCAUUCCUCAAUUUAAUUUGUUCUGGUUGGAGUUUUUACUUUUUAAAGAAUAUUUUACGUCUUUUUUUUAAAUUUAUUUUGUAGGUUAGGUUGGGUUGAAAUGGCUAGAGAGAGUGACUCCCCUUACACAUACGCCAAGAAAGGCCCAUUUUGGUACCAUAUGCAAUCUUUGCUCGCCUGUGAUGUUGCGACGCUUACUCGGGAUCAAACCAAUUCGUUAACGUGAUGAACUUCGACAUGUAUUUUGUAAUAAUAUCAAAAAUUGUUGGAUAGCAGUCUUGCCAGAGGAGUAUGUGAGAGAGAACCAACAGCUGAUACCUUUCUACGGAAAAAAUCAACUUCGCGCGGAUUUCUACGACUGUGCCUCCGUCCACCGAAAAAUUCCACGUUGUUGAGUUUUCAUUUACAUAGCCCUCUCAUAAGGUAGGCGGUGUCAGCUGUCAGCGUUCUCCGAUUUUACGUCCGAUGAAUACCUAUACGAAUAUGAAAACGAAUCACAAGACGAAUGCGGAUACAAAUGAGGAAUAUGAACCCGUAGACAAAUGCUAACACGUAUCCGAAUACAAAGAUAAGGGCUCGUAGAACACUUAAGAACACUUUUGCGUCACAAAAGUUUAAAAUUAAUAGAGCAAAUCUAGAAAAUUAAAAUUUUUAUUUUGCAGUAUCUGGCGUUUUGAUGGAAAAUUUUAUCUCAACAGCGGAUAGACUUCGAAAAAACUCGAUCUCAUCGGCGAAGAAUAUUACAAAAAUGUUGUUUCGAAAUUUUCUACGAUGGAAUUGCUGGCAGGAAAUUUAUAUUUGUAUGUAAAUAUAUAUGUACGAGCCGUUUAUUUUGAAAGUAGCAUAAGUCACUUUACACCUUUCGUGCUUAAACGACAGGUUACUUGUAUCUGAGCGCGUCGGUUAUUCGCUUCACCAACCAAAGGAAGAAGGUUUUGUCGUUCGUUUUUGACGAUUUACAAAUGCAUUCGGUUACAAGUAGACAGUCAUUUAAGCACAAGAGGUACGAAGUGAUUUAUGGUACUUUCAAAAUAGGGCGCUCAUAUAUAUGUAGGUUUCAUUUUUUACGAACUCCCUCAAGAAAUGUGAGGUAAGAAUAAAUAUAAGGAAAUUGUUAUUCGCAACAUUUUUGAUCCAAAACCUCAUACAGACUUGUAGUUAUGCCUUCUGUGAAUACAUAUGUGAUCCAAUUUGGCUCAUUCUAACAUGUCUGCAAAAUUUCUUUGGCUACUCUCCUAAGCACUAAAAUUGUGAAAAUAUGUAGGGUAUAGCAAAAGGGAGAGCAGCCACUUAUUAUGCUCACAUCGAUUGAAACGCUACUAAAUGCAUGAAAUUAUAAUUUCUAAUGUAAUCAAAGAGAGUGAUAAUGUCUAUUAUCCCUUCUCUGCAACCCGUCUAAGCUUUAGGCCGGCACAGCCACAGCGUAAAAGGGGGAAUCAUUUAUUAUCGGAAAAUAAUAGAAAGACUGCUUAGACAAGUGGUUGCCUGUAUAAAGGCAACAAUAAAUAAAAUCAACAACGACUGAUGUUUACCGAUGCUGACAGGUGUUAAAAAUGGCGCUAAACAUGGAUGCAUGGCUAAAAGAAAAACGGCGGAAAAGGAAGUAAACAAAGGCGUGCGACUACUGAUAAGACACACACACGCGAGUACAGACAACACAAUUGACAGUACAAUGGAAGCCACUUAAGUUGACCGGUACGUUGCCGAAUAAUAAAAUCAGCAACGAAUAAUCAGUAAAUAGCACCUAGGUGAAUCGUAGAGAAGAAAAUUAUUGACUACAUAACUACAUUCAUGUAGAAAACGGCGAAAGACGGGGUGAGAUGUGUAUGAAAGAAGUGCGAAAUUUAUUUAUGCUGGCCAUGAUAGAGUUAACGCAUUGCGAAUAAGCAUAAGGCAUUAAAACAGGCAUUUUCAUUUCAUUCGAUAAACGUCACAGAGAUGUUGAGUGGCUCGCGAGUUUAGUGGCAAGCAAAGAUACACUUUGGCCUGAUUGACUUGCAGGAUAAAUGAAUAAAUGUAGUGGGUAAAUAGGUUAACGUUUGAGUGCUGUCCGUUAAAAUUGCGCCAAAUUAAUUAGGACAAUCAAGUAAAUACCUAAAUAAAUUAGUAGUAAAAUA
This 2130-nucleotide long non-coding RNA is filed under the name Rhagoletis pomonella (apple maggot). Its description in RNAcentral is "uncharacterized LOC118744397". The record is from RNAcentral. Lineage: Eukaryota; Metazoa; Arthropoda; Insecta; Diptera; Tephritidae.